UUUCUUUAUUGAAGAACCAUGAAUAGAAACCACGCUGCAUUUUGGUCCACCUCUCCUUCACCACAAGAAAACCGUUACAGUUUGUAUAUUGACCUCGUUUCCACUUUCCCUCUGUAGCGCCACAAUUUCUGUACAAGACAUCCAUCCAUCCCUUGCUUUAUCCUUUGCUCCAACUGUCGCUCCAUCCAUCCAUUUUCUACCACAACAUGAAUUCUUAUUAGAGAGGUUAGGUAUUUAUAAACUCUCCCCUGCCAACAUUUGGGACAAUUUGUGAAAGGUAGCCCUUGCUGCCAACACUCCAAGCCCUCAACAGCUAAACAAGAUAAGCAGACAGCCAUGUUUCCCUCGUAACAAAACUGAGCGCUGAGGCGUGGACCAGACAGGUUUAAAUAUAGCCGCUGAUAAGAUAGAUCAUUUGUCUCUGUUUAGUUGUCUACGAUUAUGUCACUUAACCUGGCAUGUCACUUUGUGUCCCCUAAGACAGUUUGGACCACCAAGCUAUUGAAGAUAAUUACUUUUUGUUUGCAAGCUCGUACAGUGUCCGUACAGACACAUAGUCAAUAAGUGGACAAGAUGGCUAAAGGAUGUUCUUUCAGUGGAUAAAAGAGACCAAUAUCCUAGUCAAAAGAUGCCUCCAGUACAAUGGCAUGCAAGCAGGACCUUUCAUGGACUCCCACAGGUUGCGGCCAACGAUGGAGGCCCUCAAGGACUGCACCUCGGCCGGGGAAACAAGUCGGGAUACAUGGAGGUGGAAAUCCUGAACCCCCAAAAGGAAAGGCCCAUGAAUAUUGAAACUCCUACUCUCUGAGCUGAAGACUUGUCAUUGGGAGGCAGCUCGUUAGAGACUUCCCCUGUAAUGUGGGAGGAAGCUCAUUAGAGAAAUGCUAAGGCGUGGAGAGGAAAGCAGGAAGGGGAGACACAUGCAGCAGAGGGGAAUGGAAGUCAGAGACAUUCGGAUAAUUAAUGUUUGUCUCCUCCCAGUGGCUGACUCCUGGGGACAUCGUGCUUUAUCAAGCGCAAAGCCCCAAGAGUGUAUUGCCGCAGCAAAGGUGUGGUGACACAGGUACUGUACAUAGAAAGAGAGGAGAGGGCCGGCACCACAUGACACUGCACCGCAUUGUAAUCUAACAAUUAGUCCAAUUGAGCAAUCUCAUCUGUUGUCCAACUGGACAGUUGUGUAUUAUGCAGAUGCCAUUUCGACUAAAUAAAUCUCAUUCGUAACGCUUAUGUAAUUCUCAUGUGAUCUUCUGCUGUUAAAAGUUCAAUUGAAGCUUGAAGAAAGUGUUAAUGAAUGUCUACUGGUAAAUAUAUCAUUGGGUGUUUAAGAUGUGUGGAAUAAGAUCUCACCAUGACAGAAGGGUAUAUUUGAUAAGCAUUGUUUAUAAAAAU
Oncorhynchus kisutch (coho salmon) is the source of this 1389-nucleotide long non-coding RNA. RefSeq lists it as uncharacterized. The record is from RefSeq and is a predicted model, not a curated record. The transcript is spliced from 2 exons. Lineage: Eukaryota; Metazoa; Chordata; Actinopteri; Salmoniformes; Salmonidae.